This 232-nucleotide unclassified non-coding RNA is filed under the name plant metagenome. RNAcentral describes it as "partial contains small subunit ribosomal RNA, internal transcribed spacer 1, and 5.8S ribosomal RNA". The record is from RNAcentral.
UUUCCGUAGGUGAACCUGCGGAAGGAUCAUUAAUUAUAUAAGGCCACAGGGCGAGCUUUCCGAAAGGAUCGAGCUUGCUGUGUGAACCCUACCUACCCUUGCUUUCUGCGUACCCAUUGUUUCCUCGGCAGGCUUGCCUGCCAGUAGGACCCUCAUAAACCCUUCGUAAUUGCAGUCAGCGUCAGAAACAACGUAAUCGUUACAACUUUCAGCAACGGAUCUCUUGGUUCUG